AGUGAACGCUGGCGGUAGGCCUAACACAUGCAAGUCGAACGGCAGCACAGUAAGAGCUUGCUCUUACGGGUGGCGAGUGGCGGACGGGUGAGGAAUACAUCGGAAUCUACUUUUUCGUGGGGGAUAACGUAGGGAAACUUACGCUAAUACCGCAUACGACCUACGGGUGAAAGCAGGGGAUCUUCGGACCUUGCGCGAUUGAAUGAGCCGAUGUCGGAUUAGCUAGUUGGCGGGGUAAAGGCCCACCAAGGCGACGAUCCGUAGCUGGUCUGAGAGGAUGAGCAGCCAGACUGGAACUGAGACACGGUCCAGACUCCUACGGGAGGCAGCAGUAGGGAAUAUUGGACAAUGGGCGCAAGCCUGAUCCAGCCAUACCGCGUGGGUGAAGAAGGCCUUCGGGUUGUAAAGCCCUUUUGUUGGGAAAGAAAAGCAGCAGGUUAAUACCCCGCUGUUCUGACGGUACCCAAAGAAUAAGCACCGGCUAACUUCGUG
RNAcentral lists this ribosomal RNA (492 nucleotides) under uncultured bacterium. RNAcentral's name for it is "partial 16S ribosomal RNA". It matches the Rfam family "Bacterial small subunit ribosomal RNA", at positions 29 to 507 of the family's 1533-position model. The record is from RNAcentral.